Molecule: long non-coding RNA, 4472 nt
Organism: Falco peregrinus (peregrine falcon)
Lineage: Eukaryota; Metazoa; Chordata; Aves; Falconiformes; Falconidae
Exons: 3
Source: RefSeq, a predicted model, not a curated record
GAAUAUUUUUUUAAAUUGCUUAUUUAGCCUAUGUAGCUAUUUUUUCCCUGGGCCAUGUGUGCCCAGUAGCCCUGUUCCUGACCUUAGCAUAACUAACGCCAUUUUAUAAGGCAAGUAACCAUUCUUUAUGACCGAGUGUGUCAUGUAUCUGUUCCCUUUCCUUAUCAGGCCCUGAAGGUCCUGUGAACCAAGCAGACAAACCAAAUGGAUUUCUUCUUCCCCUGCUGGCUGGCCUCAAGGCUCCUGGCCACCUUCCUUGCUAGCCUUGAAGGUCGCAGAUGCCUGGCCAGCCUGGUGUUGGUGACCCCAUCGCUGAGCAGGGAAGCGCAGCAGCACACAGCGCUGUCUGUAAAAUCAGGCAGUUGCAAGUCCUACCUGGGCACCUUGGACCCAAACUGCUGCUGCUGGACAGUGAGACCCUGUGGCCAUGGAUGCUUCCACCAUCAUCUGCUUCCUCCAAGGCUGAGUAACUUGUAUUCUUUUAUAUGAACUUUGAAUCUAGAUUGUUAUAUUCGUACAGCAAACCACAUAUUAAGAUCUGACCCAAUCUGCAGAUGGCCCAGGUGAUAAGAAACUACAAGGUAAGUUGUAUUAUAAAUUCUGUAUUAUGCUACUUAUAGGCUGUACUAUAUUGACUCUACUUGUAGAAAUCCUGUGCCAUUCCAACAAUGAAUUCUGUGCUACACUAAUCGUAGUAUCCCAUUAAGAAAAUAAAGCUUUAACUGUAACUAUGAUGUAGUGCCAUCAUCAUUCCAGCAAGGCUGCCUAAAAAAACCUGUCUGUCCCCUUUGUGACAGGAGUAAUUUGAAAGAACACCCCCCCCACCCCCCCCACCCCCAGUAAUAUUUGUAUUGACAGAGCGUUGUCUGAACACCUCAGGCUGUGAGCUGGAGCUGCUAGAACUGUGUAUUUCAUCCUACAGCUCACAUUCAAACAGCUGAAAGCCAUCUGUUCUUAUCUCCAGUUAAGCUUAGAUUUAUGUAAGGGCAGUACGGAGACCAUCCUACUGCUCUGAGCAAUAGGACAACCAUUUUAAAUGUGGAAGUUGCUACCACUCUUCCCUUGCCAGGUCAGAAUAAACGAAGCACGGCGGCUGGCUGGCUGUGAUGGCUUCAGCAGGCAGAUGCUUGUGCUCUCAUUGUGCGGUAUGAUCUGCGUACACAUGGAGUAGCCCGUGCUCCCAAGAACCUGCAGCAGGAAAGGAGCUCCUGAGAAUACAGCUGCUGGAGUGGCACUCUGGGGUACCACAGCUACAAGUGUUAUGAAUCCGAAGGUGCCCUGGGCAGGUGCCGCUGGACGCAGCAGCAGGGGCUGGAGUCAGGCUGGCAGACAGCUACUGCAGUUUGGUCAGCCUCGUUCCCCAAAUGCAAAGCAAGCCUUGUACCUGCUGCUGAAACAGGGCCAGGGCUACACUGGGGAAAAGGAAUUUGUGCUGUUUAAGACUUGCUUGUAAGGUAACAUGAGACAGAGGCAGUAUCACAAGGGGGGGCGUGUGCCUCGGCAGCACUUGUGCAUUGACAGAGCAAUUCCCAAUGUUUGUGUUGCAUCAGUUCUGCAAAUACUUAUUACAGUGCAUAAGACACAAUACCCGUCAACGUUAGCUUUGUAAAGAGAGACCGUUUUCUUCUGUUGACUAAUUAUCCACCGAAUAUAUUCAGUUUGAAGAGACACUUCAAUAAUUUAGCAGGCAUGUGCCAGGUAAUAUAGGAGCUUUUGUCUUACGAGUGGCAUAGAUCUUCAAUCAUGUGUAACUCAAUCUCUGGCUUUAUGUAUUCAAGGAAGUGUUUCGUAUAGCUCCUGUAUCAAGUGCCACUGAAAAGCAGGCCUAGAUAAAAGAUUAAGGUAAUGCUCUUAACUGUGAAUAGGGCAAGUUUACCCCUUAAUGUCCAGUAUAUCUUUUGCAGGCAAUACAGCUUUAUACAUAUGAAAUGUAUAUGCUGAGAUCUGAUGAUGAGUUUGUUGUAAUAACAGAAAAAUGCUGGAAACUGCACGUUAAAUACCCAGGUCGGUUAAGUCUCCUUAUGUUAUGGUGUAUGAACCAAUGCUUUGUAGUUUGAAACUGAAUGCUUUCUGUCAUUAACGUUUCUUAAAUGCAGAUCGUUAGUGCUGCACAAUUUUGGUUUGCUGGACCAGAUGAGGACAAUGGUAAUGUUCAGUUCCUGGGAACACUAUAAGGCAAAACUCAAGCAAUGGGUUUUCUUCAAACCCUCCCAAGGACAGCUGUCUGCCAUGCUCCAGCUGUCCACCAUGCUCCUGCUGUAACAGAGUGGGAUUUAUAAGAGCUCAAAAGGACGGAUAUCACUUACUGACAGCUUAGGUCAUCCAGUCCAUCAUCUGAGCACCUUUCUUUGGCAGUCCUGCCAGCAGCAGUGGGGAAAUGAAAAAGAAGGUGAUUGAACUUUCCUAACUAUUCUGAACAUGGCUUGGCCCAAGGAAAGGUUCCCCAGUAGUAACUUGCCUAUCACGGAGUCAUCUGAGAACCUACUUGCUACCACCUGGCUCUGACUAGGCCUCCUUAUCUCCAUGAACAGUGCUGCCAAAGCUGCCCUUUGGUAAGGAAACUUCAGAAAAGCUGGGUUUUCUUCUUGUUGGCUGAUGAAAAUGUUCUUUGAGGCUGGUCUCCUUUAGCACCCCCAGGCUGGCAAAAGGAAAAGCAUACUCCAGGAAAGAGGAUGGAUUUCCUGAUUUAGUACCAAUCUAUAGGCUUCAUCCAUAAGCUUGACUUGACUUUAAAAAUACAGAUCAACUGACCUAUCGACCUUCUUGUCUUUCUGAGAAUGUAUGUAAUGCCUACCCUCUUUAUUGUCUUAUGCUCUUCUCUAUGUGCUUGCCCACUAACUGAGAGCACGAUGUAGUGGCUGGGCUGUGAUUUAGGAGGAAAUGGCCUGCCUUCGUUUCAGUUGUCACAUUCAGCUGAUGUCAUUGUCCUCCUGUGAUGGUGAGGACAUCAUAUUGCUGGCAAUUGCCUGUUGAACUGUUGAUGGCUUUUCCUCAUCAGCGAUGGCUGCGAUGCUCCAGCCGGCUGCUGUGGGUGUUGUACUAUAAGGGGCUGGAUGGCAUCACCCGAGUGAGAUUUGACCCUUGCGGCCUGCGACUGUGCUGCCCUGUGGCAGUGUGGUGACGGGGAUUUUUGUAAAAGGCACAUUUCAGGCCUUUUGGGAAGUAGAAACCAGAAUCAUUCUGCCCAGACUGCUGUCCAGGUAACUGUGUUUUUCAUUUUAAAUACCUUUGCAGGCUCCAUGGAUAUAGCUUUUGUUUCCAGUGCUGAUAUGUUGUUUUGAUGUCUUGACAGCUCAAUUGUGUUCAUAUCCUGUUCAGAGCCCCUGCAACGGAUCUUUGCUGCCUUGUGUUUGAAUAGAGUAGACAUGGCAACUAGAAGGCUCUAAGAGUUUCUAACUAAACCUGUAAAGAAGUUUAAUUACAUACCAUGCCUAUCUUUUUUUUUUUUGUGUGUGUGUGUGUGUGUAUGGUAUUCUCACUUGGCCAGGUUCAUUGUGGGUGUUAAAUACCUUCUAAAAGUAUGAGAAAGUGGAAGGGUGAUAUCAGAGUAGAUGUAGAUGGAUUAUUUAUCUUAUUGGAUGUGACAAGGCAGAAGAGUCUGUAUUAGUAAAGUGUGAAAUACAGCAACCUGGAGAAGAGAACAGCACUAGAUUAAGGAGGCGAUCCAGAUGGGUGACACCUGGCUGUGCUCACUGUGGGAAGUUGGAUAGAAAGGGCCCACCUGAGGUCUGAUCCAGUGCUGUUGAUGUGUUCCAGCUCUGAAUUCACUUUUCUUCAGCUGUUAAGAAUGUCUGUUAUGCCCAUACAACUGUGUUGUCUGUCCUAGAGCUGAGACAUCUUGUUCAACAUUCUGUGUCCUGACUACUCCCUGGUUGGAGUGGGUGGGCAGUUCCUGCUUGGUUUGUGCUACCAGCGUUAGGUGUAAUCCCAUGAAAAGGUCCUGGGUGUGGAAAAGGGAUGUGGCCCUGGCAGCUUUGGCAGAGAUUGUUAGGAACUUUCUGGAAUUUUCUUUUCCCUUUUUUUUUGAUCAGAAAAUACCACUUAGUUUUAAUGUAAUGGCUCAACAAAUAUUUGAAAAAAAAAAUUAUUAAUACUGUUUCAAAAUACCUGAAAAUUUCUGCUUCCUUCCCUUAAAGAAUACAAAAUGAUUCAUUCCUCAUUUUAAAAUGCAGUUUAUGUUUUUUCAAAACACUAACAAAAGUAGGAAGUUACAAAUAAUAUUUUCCCAAAGUACAACAUAAAAUUGAAAUAGUGAAAACAUUUGUUGAACUAUUUUGAGAUGCAAGAUUUGCAUUUGACUCAAAUGGAAUGUGUUUUCUAAAUGAACUUUUUCAGGGAGGAAAACCCUUUUGUCUGAUAAUUAAAUCCCAGCCUGAGAGAGGUGGGACAAUACUUCCAUUAGAGCAAGACAGAAUUUCUGUGCAGAAAUUGAGGAGAGGAACAGUAUCUGUAUUGGAGGUUGUGUUCAGGAG